This 337-nucleotide ribosomal RNA is filed under the name uncultured bacterium. RNAcentral describes it as "bacterial SSU rRNA". It matches the Rfam family "Bacterial small subunit ribosomal RNA", at positions 142 to 507 of the family's 1533-position model. The record is from RNAcentral.
AAUAAGCCACCGAAAGGUGGUCUAAUACUUCAUAAUAUCCAUCUCGUAUGGAUUAAAGCUUUAUGCGCUUUGGGAGGGGCCUGCGUAACAUUAGCUUGUUGGUGAGGUAAAAGCUCACCAAGGCUUCGAUGUUUAACUGGUUUGAGAGGAUGACCAGUCACACUGGGACUGAGAUACGGCCCAGACUCCUACGGGAGGCAGCAGUAAGGAAUCUUCCACAAUGGGGCAACCCUGAUGGAGCAAUACCGCGUGCAGGAUGAAGCGUUUCGGCGUGUAAACUGCUUUAUCACCGAAGAUUAUGACUGUAGGUGAAGAAUAAGGACCGGCUAACUACGUG